This 443-nucleotide ribosomal RNA is filed under the name uncultured bacterium. RNAcentral's name for it is "partial 16S ribosomal RNA". It matches the Rfam family "Bacterial small subunit ribosomal RNA", at positions 338 to 795 of the family's 1533-position model. The record is from RNAcentral.
CCUACGGGGGGCUGCAGUAGGGAAUAUUGCACAAUGGAGGAAACUCUGAUGCAGCGACGCCGCGUGAGUGAUGAAGGCCUUCGGGUCGUAAAGCUCUGUCGCAGGGGAAUAACACAAUGAAUGUACCCUGUAAGAAAGGAUCGGCUAACUUCGUGCCAGCAGCCGCGGUAAGACGAGGGAUCCUAGCGUUGUUCGGAAUCAUUGGGCGUAAAGCGGGUGUAGGUGGCUUUGUAAGUCAGGUGUGAAAGCCUAGGGCUCAACCCUAGAAGUGCAUUUGAUACUGCAAAGCUUGAGUGCUAGAGAGGUUACUAGAAUUGUUGGUGUAGUGGUGAAAUACGUAGAUAUCAACAGGAAUACCGGUGGCGAAGGCGGGUAACUGGCUAGACACUGACACUCAGACCCGAAAGUGCGGGGAUCAAACAGGAUUAGAUACCCGUGUAGUC